AUGCAUGUCUCAGCGCAAUUGGCAUUCCACAGAGGGUCUGUGAAUGGCUCCUUACAUCAGCAGUUGUCUAUGUGAUCUGAAUGCCUGGGCUAGCCUGUCACCCUUGGGUGGCAGGGGAACCNNNNNCUGUGUGGACAUCCUCCAAAACCUUGUGGCUAAUACACACCAGAGAACCUUUUGAUCGGCCGCCGCACUGCUGUCUCUCAAGACACAGGGCAAUACCUCACCAGAGCAAAGCAGGAAAGAAGCAGAGUGACCCAUGUUUCACAGUGCAGCUAAGGAAAUGGUGGCCUGGAUCGUACCCGGCUGGUAUCAAGGCCAGCAUCCGCCAAGGAUAGCCCACUUGUUGUUGACUCAGGCCGGUCCCCCCUAGCAAGUGGGGAGGAGGAGCCACCGGCAGAGAGAUUUGUGUUUGUGGGAAGGCCCUUGUGGUCAACCCCAGGCAGAGUUUGCUUGAUCACACGAGCUUCUGACCUAUCAGCUUGGUCUGUGGUGUAGAGGACCACAGUGGCUCCGACGGGUGACGGAGAAUCAGGGUUUGAUUCCGGAGAGGGAGCCUGAGAAACGGCUACCACUACCAAGGUGGGCAGCAGGCGCGCAAAUUGCCCAAUCCNAACACCCUUCCUGGGAGGCAGCGACGAACUGUAGCAAUCCCGCCAGCUCUCAGAGCUGGUGGACUUGGAAUGGAUGCAAUCCAAACACAGUGAUGAGUAUCAACUGGAGGGCAAGUCUGGUGCCAGCAGCUNCGGUAAUUCCAGCUCCAAGGNCGUAUACUAUCAUUGUUGCUGUUAAAACACCUGUAGUCUGCCACUGGGUUGUGGGUCUGCUGGGUGGCCUGGCACCCUGGGCUGUGGGGUCCUCCAGUCCCUCGGGACUGUGUGGGCCUCCUGUCUGGGGACCGUUGGGAUACAACCCCUGGCAGUAUGCUCCCACACCCAUUAUCAAGCAUCCCGGUGAUGUGAAUGCUCCUGCCGAAAGCCUCCUUCACUGGAGGCCCACAGGCGGUUUCAUCCCCAAAGCAGGUGUAGGCAAGCCUCAACCUGGGGUGGCACCCUGUGUGUCACAGCCUCCAUGGUUCCCAGGGCCUACCACCGGAGUCCAUCACCAACGACACCCUGGAAAACUCAGUGUGCUUCAAGCGUCCUGUCCGUUAUGGCUGGAUGCCCAUCCAUGGAAUGUCAGAGCAUCGACCAAGUGUGGCUAUCAGUGUUGUGCUGGCCUUGGGGCCUACUCAGGGCAACGUGGUGCAUGCCUGGUGCAAGAGUCUGCUGGUGACCAGGCCUGGCCACCCUCUUUGGAGGUGUGUGUCUGUGCCAAAUUGCUUGUCUGUGCUUCAGUACUGUGUGGCAUGUGCUGUUCGGAGAUGAUGGAACCACUCAGGGUGAAAGAUACAGCUGCGCCAGAGGUGAAAUUCUUAGACCGCCGCUAGGUCCACUGCGGCGAAGGCGUUCUGCCAGCCUGUGUUCGUCGAUCAAGGAUGAGAGUCUGGGGAGCAAAGAUGAUCAGACACCGUCGUAGUCCAGCCACUGUAAACUGUGCCAGCCAGGCCUCAGCCGGGCAACCUAUCUAUAUGAGCACCCUGCUGGGGCCAUGCCCCCUUCACCGAGAAAUCCACAGCCUGUGGGUUCAGGGGGGAGUACGGUCGCAAGGCUGAAACUUAAAGGAAUUGACGGAAUGGCACCACAAGGCGUGGAGUAUGCGGCUUAAUUUGACUCAACACGGGGAAUGUUACCAGGUCAGGACGCAGCUGGGAUGGACAGAUUGAGAGCUCUUUCUUGAUCCUGUGGAAGGUGGUGCAUGGCCGCUCCUGAUUGGUGGAGUGAUUUGUCUGGUUGAUUCCGAUAACGAGUGAGAUCUCUGCCUCCUACUAGACCAAGGCUCGCAACUGGUAGGGUCUGGCCAGGUGGGUCAAACAGCUGGGGAACCUCAGGGUGUGGUGGCUCAGGCUGCUGCUCCCUGCCCCAGCUGCCCCUGGCUGCCCGAGAGCCUUUGGGUGAUGCUUCUUUGAGGUGCUGUGUCCGUCUGCCAAGGGCAAGCAUGCUAGAGCCAACAGCAGGUCUGUGAUGCUCCCAGAUGUCCUGGGCCGCACGCGCACUACACUGGUGCAGUGAAGGAGUCUACAGUGCCCACCCUUUCAGUGGGCCCUGGUCAGAAGUGACUGGGAAAUCCUGGGAGUCUGCCCAACCGUGCUGGGGAUAGAUGAUUGCAACUGUCUGCCUUGAACGUGGAAUGCCUAGUAGGCGUUGGUCAUCAGCCAACACCGAUUGUGUCCCUGCCAUUUGUACACACCGCCCGUCGUUGCUACCGAUGGUGGCUGGAUAGAACCAUCAGGAGGUCUGUGUGGCUGGCCCUUGUGGCCAGGCCCCCACGUCCAAAAUUGGGUGAUGUCCCGCUGCUAGAGGAAGCAAAA
Molecule: ribosomal RNA, 2410 nt
Filed under: Euglena granulata
Lineage: Eukaryota; Euglenozoa; Euglenophyceae; Euglenales; Euglenaceae
Description: bacterial SSU rRNA
Rfam family: Eukaryotic small subunit ribosomal RNA
Source: RNAcentral